GUGGGUAGUUUGACUGGGGCGGUCUCCUCCUAAAGAGUAACGGAGGAGCACGAAGGUUGGCUAAUCCUGGUCGGACAUCAGGAGGUUAGUGCAAUGGCAUAAGCCAGCUUGACUGCGAGCGUGACGGCGCGAGCAGGUGCGAAAGCAGGUCAUAGUGAUCCGGUGGUUCUGAAUGGAAGGGCCAUCGCUCAACGGAUAAAAGGUACUCCGGGGAUAACAGGCUGAUACCGCCCAAGAGUUCAUAUCGACGGCGGUGUUUGGCACCUCGAUGUCGGCUCAUCACAUCCUGGGGCUGAAGUAGGUCCCAAGGGUAUGGCUGUUCGCCAUUUAAAGUGGUACGCGAGCUGGGUUUAGAACGUCGUGAGACAGUUCGGUCCCUAUCUGCCGUGG
This 390-nucleotide ribosomal RNA is filed under the name Escherichia coli. Its description in RNAcentral is "partial 23S ribosomal RNA". It matches the Rfam family "Bacterial large subunit ribosomal RNA", at positions 2261 to 2650 of the family's 2925-position model. Lineage: Bacteria; Pseudomonadati; Pseudomonadota; Gammaproteobacteria; Enterobacterales; Enterobacteriaceae. The record is from RNAcentral. RNAcentral also lists the same sequence under 9 other names.